RNAcentral lists this ribosomal RNA (446 nucleotides) under Hordeum vulgare. RNAcentral's name for it is "eukaryotic LSU rRNA". The stretch from base 306 to 446 matches the Rfam family "Eukaryotic large subunit ribosomal RNA", at positions 1 to 141 of the family's 3401-position model. Lineage: Eukaryota; Viridiplantae; Streptophyta; Magnoliopsida; Poales; Poaceae. The record is from RNAcentral.
UGCAGAAUCCCGCGAACCAUCGAGUCUUUGAACGCAAGUUGCGCCCGAGGCCACUCGGCCGAGGGCACGCCUGCCUGGGCGUCACGCCAAAACACGCUCCCAACCACCCUCUUCGGGAAUUGGGAUGCGGCAUAUGGUCCCUCGUCCUGCAAGGGGCGGUGGGCCGAAGAUCGGGCUGCCGGCGUACCGCGUCGGACACAGCGCAUGGUGGGCGUCCUUGCUUUAUCAAUGCAGUGCAUCCGACGCGUAGACGGCAUCAUGGCCUCGAAACGACCCAUCGAACGAAGUGCACGUCGCUUCGACCGCGACCCCAGGUCAGGCGGGACUACCCGCUGAGUUUAAGCAUAUAAAUAAGCGGAGGAGAAGAAACUUACAAGGAUUCCCCUAGUAACGGCGAGCGAACCGGGAAAAGCCCAGGUUGAGAAUCGAUCGCCCCCGGUGUUCGA